AUUGAACGCUGGCGGCAUGCUUUACACAUGCAAGUCGGACGGCAGCACAGAGAAGCUUUGCUUCUUUGGGUGGCGAGUGGCGAACGGGUGAGUAACAUAUCGGAACGUACCGAGCAGUGGGGGAUAACUAAUCGAAAGAUUAGCUAAUACCGCAUAUAUUCUGAGGAAGAAAGCAGGGGACCAUUUGGCCUUGCGCUGUUUGAGCGGCCGAUAUCUGAUUAGCUAGUUGGUGGGGUAAAGGCCUACCAAGGCGACGAUCAGUAGCGGGUCUGAGAGGAUGAUCCGCCACACUGGGACUGAGACACGGCCCAGACUCCUACGGGAGGCAGCAGUGGGGAAUUUUGGACAAUGGGCGCAAGCCUGAUCCAGCCAUGCCGCGUGUCUGAAGAAAGGGCUUCGGGUUGUAAAGGACUUUUGUCAGGGAAGAAAAGGAUAGGGUUAAUACCCCUUCUGAUGACGUACCGAAGA
Molecule: ribosomal RNA, 468 nt
Filed under: Neisseria pharyngis
Lineage: Bacteria; Pseudomonadati; Pseudomonadota; Betaproteobacteria; Neisseriales; Neisseriaceae
Description: bacterial SSU rRNA
Rfam family: Bacterial small subunit ribosomal RNA
Source: RNAcentral